Molecule: long non-coding RNA, 4529 nt
Filed under: Sus scrofa (pig)
Lineage: Eukaryota; Metazoa; Chordata; Mammalia; Artiodactyla; Suidae
Description: lncRNA (ENSSSCG00030062418.1)
Source: RNAcentral
GGGCCUGGCCUUGGCCCGAGGCUGCCCUGCCGGCUCAUACCUAUUCCUGCGGGAGGCAAGCCUCCGCCUGGCCCACUGCCACAGGCACGCCCCGGCCCCACCUGUGGAGGGAACAAACCUUUCCUCUGGUCAGAAGUGGGGAGAAAGGGGACACAGGCAGGGGCCCGGCAGGACCCGGUGAUGACAGGCUGUCAGGCUCGCUGCAAGUGACCAGGCCCUCGGAACGAGGCAUGGCACAGGCAGAUGGGGCCCCCUGCCCCGGCACCGCCCCGAGCCAGGGAAGGAGUUUGCCGAGAGCAAGGGGCUGCUGUUCAUGGAAACCUCGGCCAAGCUGAACCACCAGGUGACCGAGGCCUUCGGCGCCAUUGCCCAGGAGCUUUGGCGCAGAGAAGAGAGGAAGGAGGACCAGCAGCAGCAGAGAGACGCACAGCUGGAUCUGAACCAGAGGCCCUCGGGGCAGGCCAGAUGCUGCGCCCGCUAGAAGCAGCCUCUCCAGGAGGGGCCGUGGGGAGGAGGCCCCCAGCCCGGGCCCUGCCCGCUCCGUGUUGACCAGAUACUUAUCCCGAUUCGCCGUCGAUGCUGGCUUGUUCCUGAGUCCCGGCGGCUCUGGAAGCUGGCAUCCCCCUGAAUUACCUCCUCCCAGAGCUGGCGGGAAUCCUUCAAGCCAAGGGCCCAUAUCCAGUGGCUCCAGAGGGUGUCGGCCCCCUGUCCCCCAGACGCCAGAUACAGACUGAACCUCGGAGGCCCAGGAUGUGGCCCCUCGGCUGCCUGGCCAUCAGACACCAAGGGUUGAAACGGUCGGAGGCAAAGCGAGAGUGGGAAAACUACCCUCACCCAGCACGUAUUUGGUGUCGGGCAGGAACUUGCCCCCAGAGGUGGAAAAGGACAGAGCAGGCCCAGGUGGAGCUGGCAGUGCCAGGGAGAGGUGGAGGGAUGGUCGCGGGGCUGGGCCCAUCGUCACUGGAUCUCUGUGAGGUCCCCCAGCAGCACAGAGGGCAACUGGGGUGGGGGUGGGGUGCCAGGCCCCUCCCCUCUGAUGAAAUGAUGCUUAUGGGCAUGAGGACUCAGGCUGUCCGCCCGAGGGGUACGUUGUACCGUGUAGGCGUUUUUCUCCAAAAAGUAAACCUUUCUCUAUCCCGUGGUCUUUGGUAGUUGGUACCAUGGGGGAUUGUUCCCGCAUGUCCUCUGGGGGGGUUUGUGAUGAGUAGAUAACAGGGACCCAGGCGGGGCACAGGACACCUUCGUGAUGCUGACAUGCCAUUAUGUGCUCGCCUCCUUUCUGCCUUAGAGAGAGGCCCCCAUGGCCCUUCUGGGAGGUGGGCCAGCGGCCAUGUGAAGGUGGCUGCUGUGCGAGGUGAUGCUGGUUUCGGCCCCUGAGACUGAUGCAGAGGGAUGGAGUUUUAAACGAGACGAUGUUAUCCCUCUGAAAAAGGGGCUUUCGCUGUGGCAGCUGUGAGCAUCAACAGGACACCUGCGAGGCAUCCUUCCCCUGGGCGCCUAGCUCCUUGACGUCCACACGGCGCUCCCAUGGCAUCUGUCUUAGACACUUUCCAGGUGACGCCUGACACCUGACUGCUGCAGUUUCUGGCUGCAGUCAGGUUUUUCAUACGGCGGUUCCCUCGUGGAUGAAGUUCGCGAGGUGUGAGCCUGUGUUACCGUGCUGGGUCCUCGUGCUCUCUACACUCAAUUCCUCGUAGCAGGUCUGUGACCGCCCCCCGCCCCCCCCACCGCAAAGGGCAGGACCCACUUAGGAGGCUGAGGUUGCCCUUGGCCGCGAGGUGGCGCUGCAGUAUCGCUGAAGGCGAAGCCCACGGCUCCCGGAGUUUGGGUCAGCUUUACGCCCCGGAUGACGCAAGGCUUUGAGGGAGUUUCUCCUGUGUUGAAGAGGACAUAGGAAAUGGGGAAAUAAUGGUAUCUAGAGGAUGCCCAUAUAUCUGAUUGCUUUCCUCCCGUCUUGUCAGGCCAGGAUCACUGUGCUACAAUUUAUUAUUAAAGCAUCCUUCCAUCCUCGCCACGGGGCACCCUUUCAGUCCCAUCCCCCCAAGGUGGGAUGGGGUGCCUCGUGGUGCCGGAGCUUGGGUUCCCCGUCGCCUGGGAGUGACUGCCCCUUUCCUUCCCCUCCUCCCCCACGAGGCAGGUGGGGCUCAAUCCUGCCCUGGAAUCACCUGGGAGCCUCCACAGGCAGCAUCUCCGCACCCACCAGAGGCUCUGGCUGAUCCGUCUGCAGCGCGGCUUGGGCCCUGGGAGUUGUAGCCCUCCCGUGACCUAAUCCUCAGAGAUGGGGGGCUUUGCCAUGAGGGCAGGGGUUCCGUCUGUCCUGCCUCCUGUGGGCUUCCCGGUGCCUGUACAAUGUCUGGGACUGGCCAGGCACUUGACAAACACGUCCCACGAGAGGACAAAAUCCAAUUUUCCCAGCGAUGUAAAGAAAAGGCAGGUUUUUCUAGAAAGUCUCCAGCCCCCAACCCCCCACAGACGUUCGUGGGAGCCUCUCUCUGUGUCAGUGCUUCACCACCGGAUCUCGGAUCUCGGCCCAUCCUGGGCCCGAGGGGCGGGGCUGGGGCUGGGGCUGGGGCUGGGGCCUGGCGGGAGGGGUUGGCAGGUGUUCAGGGUAGAUUCUUCAGGAUAAAUGGUCCUGGGGGAGGCUGGCCUGGGAACUCCCGGUCCUUCCCGCAGCCGGGGAAGCUGCGUCAACUUUUCUCACCAGCUGGUGUGUGUAUGUGAGCGCGCAUGCGCGCACGUGUAUGCACAUGCGUGUGCGCGCACAAGUGUAGGUGUGUGUGCACAUGUGUAGGUGCGCACGCGUGUGCUCGUGGUGGAGGCACAGAGAGGUUGAGAAGCGGCGUCUGGGACAACCAGCUGUCUUGGCUGUGACCGUUUCCUUUCUCACCCCUCCAUUUCUAGUGCCUUCUCCAGCCGACCCCCGACCCCAUCCCGGAAGAGCCCCCUUUGCCCAGAGGGGCAAACGGGGGAAUCCAUUCUUUUUCUUUUAAAACUUAUUCCCUUUUGGGGGGUCUCAUGGCCAAAUUUAGGACAAUUUGAGCAUCAACAAUGAUUUGUAAGGUUUUGAACAAAAAGGAGAAAACAGGACGUGAAAGGCAGGGAGAGAACUAUUCCUUUAGAGGAAUCCCACUCAUAAACGUGGGAGGAAUGAGAGAAGCCCUGCUGCGCGACCCCACGGGACCCCCAGCGGGGUGUACGUCACUGGCGGUGAGCUCUUUGGGGAACAGGCUACUGUCACGGGCCCCUGAACCUCUGCCGAGGGUGUCAUGAGCAGAUGAGGAAACCGAGAGACUUUUACAGUCCAGGGAUCCUCUCAGCUGAAGGCCCCGACUUGUCACCUGGUGGAUGCGAUGCGACAGGAAAGACACAGAGCAUUGGUGCCCUCGGUGAUACCGAAUCUAGCCCUGCCCCUAGAGCCACCACUCAGCCGAUGGGAAACACGGGCACAGAGGAACAAUGGAGCAGCACCGUGGGGGGCAGUCAACAAGCCCCACACACGCCAACCGUCCUACAAGGUACCGUCUGGUCUCUGGUGAAAGUCAAUGUUGGGACAAAAUAAGAUGAUGAGGGACCGAUGAGAACCAACUAACCGCAGCCCUGAAUUGGGACUGGAGCCUGAAAAACAAGAAAGACAACUAAGAUUUUCUUGCCAUAUUUGGGAUUUUUUUUGGAGUAUGAACUAAAAACUAGAUCGUAUUAUGGAUUUAUUACGAAAUGUUUUAGGCAUGAUAAUAAUUGUGUGGUUAGACAGGAGAUUGUUCUCAAUUUGAGGAGAAAGAUGCUGAAGUCUCUUGGGGACAUUGGAUAUCCCCAACUUACAUCCCAACGGGAGAGAGAGGGAAGGGGGGAGGGGGGCGAAGGCAACUGCCGUGAUUAUCUUGGGAUCUAAGUGGAAGGUAUGCGGAUGUCACUGCAAUAUUUUUUGAACUUCCUGGUAUGUUUGAAAACGUUCAUAAGAAGUUGUAGGAGACAUAAAAUCUUCCACCUCUGUGCUUCUGGGCUCAGAAGAUGCGUUAGUUUCCCGGGGCUGCCCUGACAGGGUACCACGGUCCCGGUGGCUGGACCUGGGGCCUCUGCCACACUGAUGACGCCACGCCUGCAUCACGCAGGGCUGCAAACUCUUGUUUAAAGCGAUCAGCUGAGUGGCGUUCAGCACCUCCACCACCUCGGUCCAUUCCCCAGACACGUUCAUCCCCCAGAAGGAAACCCGGUACCCCUGGAGCGGCCCCCCCGCGCCGGCAAGCCCCCACCUGCUCUCUGUCUCCAUGGAUUUGCCUUGUCUGGACCUUGCGGAGAAAUGGAAUCUUACACUGUGCAACCUUACGUGUCUGGCUUCUUCUACUUUGCAUCGCGUUUUCAAGAUUCACCCACGUGGGAGCAUGUGGGCAAACUUUGUUCCUUUUCAUGGCCCAACAAGAUCCCAUUGUAGGGACAGACCACGUGUAGUCUAUCCAUUCGUCUACCCAUGGGUAUUUUCUCCCUUUUUGGAUGUUGAGAAUUGUGCUGCUGUGAACGUUGCUGUGCACGUA